CAUGACCCCAGAUCAGACGGGACCACC
Molecule: ribosomal RNA, 27 nt
Filed under: Allium lehmannii
Lineage: Eukaryota; Viridiplantae; Streptophyta; Magnoliopsida; Asparagales; Amaryllidaceae
Description: partial large subunit ribosomal RNA
Source: RNAcentral